GUCGAACGAGAAUUUUCCCUUCGGGGAAAUAGUAAAGUGGCGCAAGGGUGAGUAACACGUGAAUAAUCUGCCUACGAAUUUGGGAUAACGCGGGGAAACCUGUGCUAAUACCAGAUAAGACCACGUCUCUUAUGUGAUGUGGCCAAAGGAGCCUCAAGCUCCGUUUGUAGAUGAGUUCGCGGACCAUUAGCUUGUUGGAGGGAUAAAAGCCCCCCAAGGCGACGAUGGUUAGCCGGCCUGAGAGGGUGAUCGGCCACACUGGAACUGAGACACGGUCCAGACUCCUACGGGAGGCAGCAGUGGGGAAUAUUGCGCAAUGGGCGAAAGCCUGACGCAGCAACGCCGCGUGAGGGAUGAAGGAUUUUGGUUCGUAAACCUCUGUCAAGUGGGAAGAAUACUGACGGUACCACUAAAGGAAGCCCCGGCUAACUCCGUGCCAGCAGCCGCGGUAAUACGGAGGGGGCAAGCGUUGUUCGGAAUCAUUGGGCGUAAAGAGUAUGUAGGCGGCUAUUUAAGUCAGACGUGUAAGCCCACGGCUCAACCGUGGAAUUGCGUUUGAAACUAUUUAGCUUGAGUGCAGGAGAGGAAGGCGGAAUUCCCAGUGUAGCGGUGAAAUGCAUUGAUAUUGGG
RNAcentral lists this ribosomal RNA (630 nucleotides) under uncultured bacterium. RNAcentral's name for it is "bacterial SSU rRNA". It matches the Rfam family "Bacterial small subunit ribosomal RNA", at positions 61 to 701 of the family's 1533-position model. The record is from RNAcentral.